GAAUAAGGCAUGCAUUCAUUUCAAGUUUUUAGUUGUCUAGAACUCUAAAUUUAUAUUAAUGUGACAGGUGUUCAUGAGUUGAAAAGCAACAAUUCACAUAGUAAAUUUAUGUUUUUAUAUUGAUAACACAUCUUGCGUUGGAAGUGCAAAAGAUGUUAAAGCCUGAUCCUCAAGUGUUUCUGAGUUGGUAGGCUUUUUUUAUUGAUAACACUUCUGGCAAUGGAAGGACAUGGCACAAAGUGUCUAGAGUCACAGCGGACAUGGAUAGGUACAUAUGCAAUGAUUAUUACUAUUACAAACACCAUCUCCUUUAUGAGCCCUAUCGCAUCCCUCUUCACAAAUUUCACGAUCACAUGAGCCUCCUAAGUCAACUUUGCAGAAACCAUUGAGUUGUUGUGCCUCGACCACGACAUCAGCUGUUACAAAAGUAAAUAUAUGAUUAAGUUUGGCAACAGUUGCAUUUUUAUCUAGAUAUUAUAUGCAAUCAUACAGAAGUUGUUAUAUAGUUGAUAAUAGCGUGAGGUAAUACUAUCACGUGUUGUUAAUCUUAGGAUGAAUGAUAUUUUAUGCUGAAUUCAGUCAUCCCGUUAAGACACCCAAAUAUAUAUCGCACCUAUUUUAGAAACCAUGAAUUAGAAUAAGUUUUGUGGAGCUUGAUGUGGUAGGAAAAAGCUAGGAGAACAAGCAAUUUUAUUCUUAUUUUUGCACCUAGAUUUGAUGAAGCUAAAUUUUAAGAGAAAAAAGUAGGUUUGUUGAAGCCAAAGAACCUGUACAAAAAAAUUGUACUUUUUUUUUUCUUACCCAAUGCAUAUUGAUGAUGAGUUGGUUUAAUCUUUUACUAUGACUUGGUAUGGACUAUUGAGAAUUAAUUAAAAUUACCAACAUGAUUAACCAACCCAUGAAUACCUCAAAGAGUAUGGUUGUUUAGAUAUUUAUUUAGCAUGAACUAAAGACUUUUGUUUAGACCAUCAGAUCAAAUGCCCUCUUAAUAACAAUUCAAGAAAAGAAAAUCAUACUGAAAUAAGAACUUUAUUUUGACCAAGGUUUGUUGUACUGUACCAUAUCGGCAUUUCGACCCGGGCUCAGUACGUUACCGGUGUACUGGGCGAUACAUCAGGGUGUACCGAAUAAUUUUUUAUUUUUUUAUAUUGUAGCAGUGCUACAGUAUAGUACUAUAACACUGUAGCGGUACCGGGCGGUCCGCGUACCGGUAACCUGUCGGACCGGUAUGUACCGCCCGGUACGGGUGGUACGCUUCGGUACGGCAGACCUUGAUUUUGACCCCACUUUUCCCAUAAAAUAUGGUUCAAUCAAAAUCUAUAAUACCUGACUUGUCGGAAUUUUAUGACUUUUUAUUUGUCAAAGUUGACGUGCUAAUGAGAGCAAAUUGGAGAAGAAAAAACAUGCAUGUUCGAGCUUACCUGCAAAAAGGACGAGGAGAAGGAUAACACACGCGAUCUUCGCCCCCAUGAUAAAGAAGGUUAGAAGGUUCCUG
This 1495-nucleotide long non-coding RNA is filed under the name Musa acuminata (dwarf banana). RNAcentral describes it as "long non-coding RNA (MACU_LNC006234)". Lineage: Eukaryota; Viridiplantae; Streptophyta; Magnoliopsida; Zingiberales; Musaceae. The record is from RNAcentral.